This is a small nucleolar RNA of Meriones unguiculatus (Mongolian gerbil), 204 nucleotides long. Its record names the gene SNORA73. It matches the Rfam family "Small nucleolar RNA SNORA73 family". From Rfam's summary of the family: U17 (SNORA73A and SNORA73B) also known as E1 belongs to the H/ACA class of small nucleolar RNAs (snoRNAs). Vertebrate U17 is intron-encoded and ranges in length from 200-230 nucleotides, longer than most snoRNAs. It is one of the most abundant snoRNAs in human cells and is essential for the cleavage of pre-rRNA within the 5' external transcribed spacer (ETS). The record is from Ensembl. NCBI's taxonomy places the organism in Eukaryota, Metazoa, Chordata, Mammalia, Rodentia, Muridae.
CCAACGUGGAUAACCCGGGAGGUCACUCUCCCCGGGCUCUGUCCUAGUGGCGUACGGGAGCAUAGGGCUUCGCCCAGUGAUGUACAGUCCCUUUCCACAACGUUGGAGAUGAAGCUGGGCUUUCAGUCCGCGCCUGCAUAUUCCUACAGCUUCUCAGAGUCCUGUGGACGGUGACUGAGGAGACAAACCAUGCAGGAAACAUAA